This is a long non-coding RNA of Cryptomeria japonica (Japanese cedar), 596 nucleotides long. RefSeq lists it as uncharacterized. Lineage: Eukaryota; Viridiplantae; Streptophyta; Pinopsida; Cupressales; Cupressaceae. The transcript is spliced from 4 exons. The record is from RefSeq and is a predicted model, not a curated record.
CACAUUUUUGUGACAAAGCAGAGGAAAGGCAAAGGAGAGGAAGAUAGAGAAACUAAGGGCAAAAUCUUCUUCCAGGAAAUGAGUCAAUCUUCAUUUGCACAGCUAAUCCAUUUGGAGAUUCUAUCAAGCACAGAUCCUAUGCAGCGGUUUUGUUCAACUUCUAGUAUGGCAGCUUGGUUUUCACUAUCUGGUAGGUGUGGAAAAAUUGCCAGGAUUAUUGAAGGUGAAGUUGGAAGUGCUUGAUGAGGUUGACAUGAACGAUUAAAAAUGGGAUCCGACAUAAGACGCAAGACCUGGCCAGAGUUCUCACCACCAGAUUACUAACCUUCCUACAAUGCCAUGGAUUCUGUCAUGACAUGAACCCCACGUAUUGCAAUUCUUCUGCUUUUCACAUGUUGUAAAAUAGCAACCCCACAUGUUUAAACACAAAGUUGUUUCAAGCAUUAUGGGACUAUCUUAUUCAAUUGCAAAUUAUUAGAGUCCAGUACCUAGUACUUAUGAACAAGAAGAGAAAAGUCUUGUGCAAAAUAGAGAGAAACUCCUGUCCUGAUACACAUCCAAAUUUGCAUGAUAUACAAUAGUUGAAACUGCUAAAU